CUUCACCAGGCCCAGUCUCUUUCCACUUGUUCAAAGGAGGUUAUUAGGCCCUAGACAUUUCAUUGUUUGAUCUCAUGUGUAUUUUAUUUCCAAUUCCAUCUAUUGAACUACAUUUAUCUGUUAAUGUGAAUAACGUCCUGCAUUCCAACCGCAACGACAUUUUUAGAAAUUGGGUUACAGCCGAAAAAGAACGCGUGAAAUUAACCGCAAGUGCGGAAAGCGGAAGUGCUACUGCAAAUGGCGACGAGAACGGAAGUCGAGGUGGAAGUCGAGGUGGCCGUGACGGUUGAAGUGGCGAACGCCAUCAAGAAUCGGCCGCCACGUACGUCCUCGGGCGCAUUGAAUCCGGGCUCGAUCACAACCGGAACGGCCGUCAUUUGACGAGCGACACGGGCCGGUUCCACUGGAUGCUCGAUCCUAUAUCAUUCCAUUUCAAAGGUAAAUUAUAAUUUUGUUUACAUUAUUCCUGAUUGAAUUGUGAUUUCAUACUCUUUAGGUUUUGGCAGAAAUGCUGUGCCUUCUUCGCUUUCCGGCUCGUUGUCGUCGUAAUAAAGUCCACGUCCGGGUUUGUCGA
Daphnia pulex (common water flea) is the source of this 574-nucleotide long non-coding RNA. RefSeq lists it as uncharacterized. The transcript has 2 exons. Lineage: Eukaryota; Metazoa; Arthropoda; Branchiopoda; Diplostraca; Daphniidae. The record is from RefSeq and is a predicted model, not a curated record.